AGGGCAGGCGGCCUUUCUGGCUCUGGGCCCGGCCCCGAUGGCUUGCACAGUGGCAGCUGCAGCUCGUGGAAGGGCCCUGAGGUUGGGUGAGCGGGAAUGACGGAGGAUCCCGAGGGGGUUACGGGGCUCCCAGAACAGGUCUAUCUCUACGUGUGUGUCAUAAAUUGCCAAGAUGGAGAACCUGGGGCUCAGAGCGCAGAACCUGGCUAAUAAACAUCAGAAGCAAAGCCUCCAGAGCGUGAGCCCCGCCAAAGAUGGAAGACAGCAUCAUCUACAAGGGGCCUUGUGGUUUUUGACUUAGGAGUUACCAGAAGUGUCUUCUGGGUAGACGUUCAAUCAUUCAAAUGGCUAAAGAUGAAGUUUAAAAACGUCAUUGAUUUUUAAAUUUGUUAUCACUUAAAUCCUGCCCCCCAUCACUUUCCGCUUGUCAUCGCCAGAAAGCCACUUCACAUCCCGAAGCUUGUUUUAAAGAUGGGAAAAAAUAAUGCACCUGA
Molecule: long non-coding RNA, 494 nt
Organism: Antechinus flavipes (yellow-footed antechinus)
Lineage: Eukaryota; Metazoa; Chordata; Mammalia; Dasyuromorphia; Dasyuridae
Exons: 2
Source: RefSeq, a predicted model, not a curated record